AGCGUACACGGUGGAUGCCCUGGCAGUCAGAGGCGAUGAAGGACGUGCUAAUCUGCGAUAAGCGUCGGUAAGGUGAUAUGAACCGUUAUAACCGGCGAUUUCCGAAUGGGGAAACCCAGUGUGAUUCGUCACACUAUCAUUAACUGAAUUCAUAGGUUAAUGAGGCGAACCGGGGGAACUGAAACAUCUAAGUACCCCGAGGAAAAGAAAUCAACCGAGAUUCCCCCAGUAGCGGCGAGCGAACGGGGAGGAGCCCAGAGCCUGAAUCAGUGUGUGUGUUAGUGGAAGCGUCUGGAAAGGCGCGCGAUACAGGGUGACAGCCCCGUACACAAAAAUGCACAUGCUGUGAGCUCGAUGAGUAGGGCGGGACACGUGGUAUCCUGUCUGAAUAUGGGGGGACCAUCCUCCAAGGCUAAAUACUCCUGACUGACCGAUAGUGAACCAGUACCGUGAGGGAAAGGCGAAAAGAACCCCGGCGAGGGGAGUGAAAAAGAACCUGAAACCGUGUACGUACAAGCAGUGGGAGCCUCUUUAUGGGGUGACUGCGUACCUUUUGUAUAAUGGGUCAGCGACUUAUAUUCUGUAGCAAGGUUAACCGAAUAGGGGAGCCGAAGGGAAACCGAGUCUUAACUGGGCGUUAAGUUGCAGGGUAUAGACCCGAAACCCGGUGAUCUAGCCAUGGGCAGGUUGAAGGUUGGGUAACACUAACUGGAGGACCGAACCGACUAAUGUUGAAAAAUUAGCGGAUGACUUGUGGCUGGGGGUGAAAGGCCAAUCAAACCGGGAGAUAGCUGGUUCUCCCCGAAAGCUAUUUAGGUAGCGCCUCGUGAAUUCAUCUCCGGGGGUAGAGCACUGUUUCGGCAAGGGGGUCAUCCCGACUUACCAACCCGAUGCAAACUGCGAAUACCGGAGAAUGUUAUCACGGGAGACACACGGCGGGUGCUAACGUCCGUCGUGAAGAGGGAAACAACCCAGACCGCCAGCUAAGGUCCCAAAGUCAUGGUUAAGUGGGAAACGAUGUGGGAAGGCCCAGACAGCCAGGAUGUUGGCUUAGAAGCAGCCAUCAUUUAAAGAAAGCGUAAUAGCUCACUGGUCGAGUCGGCCUGCGCGGAAGAUGUAACGGGGCUAAACCAUGCACCGAAGCUGCGGCAGCGACGCUUAUGCGUUGUUGGGUAGGGGAGCGUUCUGUAAGCCUGCGAAGGUGUACUGUGAGGUAUGCUGGAGGUAUCAGAAGUGCGAAUGCUGACAUAAGUAACGAUAAAGCGGGUGAAAAGCCCGCUCGCCGGAAGACCAAGGGUUCCUGUCCAACGUUAAUCGGGGCAGGGUGAGUCGACCCCUAAGGCGAGGCCGAAAGGCGUAGUCGAUGGGAAACAGGUUAAUAUUCCUGUACUUGGUGUUACUGCGAAGGGGGGACGGAGAAGGCUAUGUUGGCCGGGCGACGGUUGUCCCGGUUUAAGCGUGUAGGCUGGUUUUCCAGGCAAAUCCGGAAAAUCAAGGCUGAGGCGUGAUGACGAGGCACUACGGUGCUGAAGCAACAAAUGCCCUGCUUCCAGGAAAAGCCUCUAAGCAUCAGGUAACAUCAAAUCGUACCCCAAACCGACACAGGUGGUCAGGUAGAGAAUACCAAGGCGCUUGAGAGAACUCGGGUGAAGGAACUAGGCAAAAUGGUGCCGUAACUUCGGGAGAAGGCACGCUGAUACGUAGGUGAAGUCCCUUGCGGAUGGAGCUGAAAUCAGUCGAAGAUACCAGCUGGCUGCAACUGUUUAUUAAAAACACAGCACUGUGCAAACACGAAAGUGGACGUAUACGGUGUGACGCCUGCCCGGUGCCGGAAGGUUAAUUGAUGGGGUUAGCGGUAACGCGAAGCUCUUGAUCGAAGCCCCGGUAAACGGCGGCCGUAACUAUAACGGUCCUAAGGUAGCGAAAUUCCUUGUCGGGUAAGUUCCGACCUGCACGAAUGGCGUAAUGAUGGCCAGGCUGUCUCCACCCGAGACUCAGUGAAAUUGAACUCGCUGUGAAGAUGCAGUGUACCCGCGGCAAGACGGAAAGACCCCGUGAACCUUUACUAUAGCUUGACACUGAACAUUGAGCCUUGAUGUGUAGGAUAGGUGGGAGGCUUUGAAGUGUGGACGCCAGUCUGCAUGGAGCCGACCUUGAAAUACCACCCUUUAAUGUUUGAUGUUCUAACGUUGGCCCCUAAUCGGGGUUGCGGACAGUGUCUGGUGGGUAGUUUGACUGGGGCGGUCUCCUCCUAAAGAGUAACGGAGGAGCACGAAGGUUGGCUAAUCCUGGUCGGACAUCAGGAGGUUAGUGCAAUGGCAUAAGCCAGCUUGACUGCGAGCGUGACGGCGCGAGCAGGUGCGAAAGCAGGUCAUAGUGAUCCGGUGGUUCUGAAUGGAAGGGCCAUCGCUCAACGGAUAAAAGGUACUCCGGGGAUAACAGGCUGAUACCGCCCAAGAGUUCAUAUCGACGGCGGUGUUUGGCACCUCGAUGUCGGCUCAUCACAUCCUGGGGCUGAAGUAGGUCCCAAGGGUAUGGCUGUUCGCCAUUUAAAGUGGUACGCGAGCUGGGUUUAGAACGUCGUGAGACAGUUCGGUCCCUAUCUGCCGUGGGCGCUGGAGAACUGAGGGGGGCUGCUCCUAGUACGAGAGGACCGGAGUGGACGCAUCACUGGUGUUCGGGUUGUCAUGCCAAUGGCACUGCCCGGUAGCUAAAUGCGGAAGAGAUAAGUGCUGAAAGCAUCUAAGCACGAAACUUGCCCCGAGAUGAGUUCUCCCUGACUCCUUGA
Molecule: ribosomal RNA, 2788 nt
Filed under: Escherichia coli
Lineage: Bacteria; Pseudomonadati; Pseudomonadota; Gammaproteobacteria; Enterobacterales; Enterobacteriaceae
Description: bacterial LSU rRNA
Rfam family: Bacterial large subunit ribosomal RNA
Source: RNAcentral